GCCGGUGUAGCUCAGGGGUAGAGCAACGCUUUCGUAAAGCGUGGGUCGCGGGUUCGAAUCCCAUCACCGGCUCCC
RNAcentral lists this transfer RNA (75 nucleotides) under Chloroflexota bacterium. Its description in RNAcentral is "Chloroflexi bacterium tRNA-Thr". It matches the Rfam family "tRNA". Rfam says of the family: Transfer RNA (tRNA) molecules are approximately 80 nucleotides in length. The record is from RNAcentral. Lineage: Bacteria; Bacillati; Chloroflexota.